RNAcentral lists this long non-coding RNA (331 nucleotides) under Bos indicus x Bos taurus (hybrid cattle). Its description in RNAcentral is "lncRNA (ENSBIXG00000029873.1)". The record is from RNAcentral. Lineage: Eukaryota; Metazoa; Chordata; Mammalia; Artiodactyla; Bovidae.
UGCCUUUGGAGCAGCCAACCCACAGCAACCCUGAAGAGGAAGCCAGGGUUAUAAACACGCCAGCCAGUCUCCAAGCUCCUGCUGGUGCCUCCAGGCAGCGAAGAUGAGGGAGCAGUGGGACCAGGUGUGGCCAGUUUGUCAGAAGCAGCAGCCCCUGGCUUGAGCCUUGAACAGAUGGGCGUGCGUUUCCCUGUUCCCUGGAAGACCUGUUGAAAGAAAUUCUGGUAUCAUCUGUCAUUUUUGCUUAAGCUUUGUGCCAGUAAGCAGAUAUAUCUGCUCCUGUGUGUAACUGUUGUUCAAAAGAGAAAUAAAUUUUCUACUAUGCUUGGUG